AUCUCCUUAUAUGAGUAGCAAUAACAGAGGAACCAACACUUCCUCCACAGACAGGGGCAAUAAUAUCCACAACUCUAUAGGGAGUCCAAAUUGUCAACAGGCCACUUCUAUGAGGGAACUUUGUAUGGAAACCAGAAAUCAUCCCUGCCACUUCCCAUCAAAAUUACUUCAUCCUCACAGCAGGCAUCACAGGUGCCUAGCAAUGCUAAGGACAUGACAGAGGCAGAUAAGAGUGAUGUAACACUUCCCACUGGUAAAACCACCACCAGAAAUAUCACACUUCCCCAUACAUGUUAGUAUGAGUGCGGCACAGAGCCAUCCCUCUGUGUUCCAGUCAUUUCUUCCCAUUGUUAGUCAUUGAAACGCAGGUACCCUCCAUGGGCAUCUGAAGCAGUCACACUAACCUUGAGCAAGUUUCUGAAGUAUGGGGAGCAGGCUGAGAGCACCACCUUGUGUGCCUUUAAGCUGCGUCCCUCACAUGCCAGCGUCACGUCCACAAAGUCCUCAUGGUCGCGGAGGUGCUCGAACGAUGUGGCAAUGUUGCUGUGAAAAUUGUUCCACCGCAGGCAAAAGUGUUGGUCACUACCCAUGGCGAUCAUGUGCUGCUUACUGCUGGCCCACAGGAGGAGGCAGAGACACAGAGGAAAGGAGAGAGAAAAUCUGAUCAGUGAAAGUAUACAUCAUGAAGUCAGUGUUAAUUAAGAAACAGAAACCUGAAAGGAGAAAAAUGUUAAGAUAAUUUCAUAUGUAAGAGUAUAUGUUUCCUGUUCAAAAGACCUAAACAUCAUCUUCAUUCACUUCCCAGGCAGUAACCUGGAAGUAUGUGUAUGUUGGAUGGAUGUGGUACUGAGACACCAGUGCAUUCUAGUUCAGAAGACUUACACAUCUCUCUCAUACAUUCCCAAGGCAACAAAUAGUCUGACACUCCUCACAUAAGUCACAGCAGAGGGGCCAUGAGGGGCUCUUGCUACUACUACUACUGCUGCUGCUGCUGCUGCUGCUGCUGCUGCCGCUACAGGCAGGUCACUCUCACUCCACACUGGUUCAUUAUCUCCCAGCCCUGCCCAUCACUGACUCAGCCCGCUUAUCAUGAGGUACAAUACAAUUCCAUGCUAUCCACCACCUCCAGUCACGUCUCCCAUGCACACUGCAACUAAUUCCUAAAUGGUCUUAAAUAUUUGCUUCAUCCAUAUAAUUUUCAUUAAGCUACAGAUUUAAUAGAGGAUGUUUGAGAAUAGUCUUCCAAAAAAUUGCACUGUCUACUGAAAUGAGGCUUACGUCUAUUGAAAAUUAGUUUUUUACAUAGUUCAUUUCAAAAACACUGCAAGAACGAAUUAUAAUGAGAUAGAUCUACCUAUUUACAGACAACACUGAUAUUCCUUCUACAGGAAUAUCCUGUACAUGGUGCUUUGAAAAUGCAACAGAGCUGAGCCUUGCAAUGUAUCACAGAAGUUUCUUAUGAUACAAAUUUUAACUCCAAACUCAAGAAAUGUCAAAAGUUCCAUUACAAAAUCAGAUAAAGCAACAGCACCUGGAUUUCCUGUUUACACCUUCUCAAAGACACAAAAACCUCUACUUGAUAAUGUGUGUGAUUCUCCAACAAAUCCCCAUAAAUAACUUACUGCAUACAAAGCUACACAAUGAUUCUUGUCAGGCUCACAAAAUAACUUCGCACAAAUUGUACUGUGCUCUGGUAUCUUAUCUUUGAGUAGAUAGUACAUCACUGAGCCCAGGUGUUUAUGGUUACAUACAUACAUUUGGACUAAAAUGUGUGCUCCUCUACCUUCAGUCAACAGGAUUUAAUUCUAGCUCAGGUUGUUUGAUUCCUGAGAAGAGUAAGAACACGUAAAAAUAAGGAGAAUGCAAAAGGCCACUUGACCCACACAAGGCAGCUCCUGUUAACAAAACUAACAUAAAAGUAUGUGUAUGUGUUUGCAUGUAAGAUUGUCACAUGGACUAUCAUAUUCAUAUAAACAUAGUAUUUUUA
Long non-coding RNA from Scylla paramamosain (green mud crab), 1987 nucleotides. RefSeq lists it as uncharacterized. The record is from RefSeq and is a predicted model, not a curated record. The transcript has 2 exons. Lineage: Eukaryota; Metazoa; Arthropoda; Malacostraca; Decapoda; Portunidae.